GGGACAAAGAUGAGGAUUGAAUUUGAGUGUGUGUGUGUGUGAGAGAGAGAGAGAGAGAGAGAGAGAUAUUACAAAGAUGAAGCAGCUCCCAGUGCACGCAACGUAUUCCUCGCGUUCGUCAAAGCUUUUUCGUUUGUUUUCUCAGUCACGUGUAUUUCACAUGCUCUUUAAUAAGAAAGGAGUGAACAAGUCAUCAGGUCAUUCAAUCUCAACCCUUAAUUUUUAAAAUGAAAUAUGAACCCUUAGAUGAUUGGCUGUACCGAUACAAUUGAGGCACCACAGAAUUUUUGAUAACUUAUAGGUACCCAACCCAGUUAACAGUAAACAACAAAUGGGCUUGUCGAAUAUAGGUCCCUACAAUUUCUAUUUUCUAGACAUAUACCCAUCAUUCUUUAAAUCUAUGUGUAAAACUCAAUUUCAAACUUAAAUGACCAGUAGGAUGUAAGAGGUCGUAGUAUUCCUAUGUUUUUAUAUCCUUGCC
This 481-nucleotide long non-coding RNA is filed under the name Prunus persica (peach). RNAcentral's name for it is "long non-coding RNA (PPER_LNC002403)". The record is from RNAcentral. Lineage: Eukaryota; Viridiplantae; Streptophyta; Magnoliopsida; Rosales; Rosaceae.